CCAUCUCCAAAAAAAAUAAGAGUGCCUUGCUC
This 32-nucleotide non-coding RNA is filed under the name Homo sapiens (human). Lineage: Eukaryota; Metazoa; Chordata; Mammalia; Primates; Hominidae. The record is from RNAcentral.